GGGGCCGUAGUCUAGCGGUAGGAUUGAAUCGAAUCCCUAAAGCCCGCCUUACACGCGGGAGAUCCCGGGAGGGGAUUCCCCGGGAAUUCAAAUCCCGGCGGCCCCA
RNAcentral lists this transfer RNA (106 nucleotides) under Thermoproteus sp. CP80. Its description in RNAcentral is "tRNA-Val". Lineage: Archaea; Thermoproteati; Thermoproteota; Thermoprotei; Thermoproteales; Thermoproteaceae. The record is from RNAcentral.